This 336-nucleotide ribosomal RNA is filed under the name uncultured Pseudomonas sp. RNAcentral's name for it is "bacterial SSU rRNA". It matches the Rfam family "Bacterial small subunit ribosomal RNA", at positions 1048 to 1382 of the family's 1533-position model. The record is from RNAcentral. Lineage: Bacteria; Pseudomonadati; Pseudomonadota; Gammaproteobacteria; Pseudomonadales; Pseudomonadaceae.
GUUGUCGUCAGCUCGUGUCGUGAGAUGUUGGGUUAAGUCCCGUAACGAGCGCAACCCUUGUCCUUAGUUACCAGCACGUAAUGGUGGGCACUCUAAGGAGACUGCCGGUGACAAACCGGAGGAAGGUGGGGAUGACGUCAAGUCAUCAUGGCCCUUACGGCCUGGGCUACACACGUGCUACAAUGGUCGGUACAAAGGGUUGCCAAGCCGCGAGGUGGAGCUAAUCCCAUAAAACCGAUCGUAGUCCGGAUCGCAGUCUGCAACUCGACUGCGUGAAGUCGGAAUCGCUAGUAAUCGUGAAUCAGAAUGUCACGGUCGAAUACGUUCCCGGGCCUU